Molecule: ribosomal RNA, 301 nt
Filed under: uncultured bacterium
Lineage: Bacteria
Description: partial 16S ribosomal RNA
Rfam family: Bacterial small subunit ribosomal RNA
Source: RNAcentral
CAGCAGCCGCGGGAAUACGAAGGGUGCAAGCGUUAAUCGGAAUUACUGGGCGUAAAGCGUGCGUAGGCGGUGAGUUAAGUCUGCUGUGAAAUCCCCGGGCUCAACCUGGGAAUGGCAGUGGAUACUGGCUCGCUAGAGUGUGUCAGAGGAUGGUGGAAUUCCCGGUGUAGCGGUGAAAUGCGUAGAGAUCGGGAGGAACAUCAGUGGCGAAGGCGGCCAUCUGGGACGACACAGACGCUGAGGCACGAAAGCGUGGGGAGCAAACAGGAUUAGAUACCCCCGUAGUCCCUGUCUCUUAUAA